RNAcentral lists this ribosomal RNA (734 nucleotides) under uncultured Enterobacteriaceae bacterium. RNAcentral's name for it is "bacterial SSU rRNA". It matches the Rfam family "Bacterial small subunit ribosomal RNA", at positions 767 to 1502 of the family's 1533-position model. The record is from RNAcentral. Lineage: Bacteria; Pseudomonadati; Pseudomonadota; Gammaproteobacteria; Enterobacterales; Enterobacteriaceae.
AGCAAACAGGAUUAGAUACCUGGUAGUCCACGCUGUAAACGAUGUCGAUUUGGAGUUUGUUGCCUAGAGUGAUGGGCUCCGAAGCUAACGCGAUAAAUCGACCGCCUGGGGAGUACGGCCGCAAGGUUAAAACUCAAAUGAAUUGACGGGGGCCCGCACAAGCGGUGGAGCAUGUGGUUUAAUUCGAUGCAACGCGAAGAACCUUACCUGGUCUUGACAUCCAUAGAAUUCUGCAGAGAUGUGGGAGUGCCUUCGGGAACUAUGAGACAGGUGCUGCAUGGCUGUCGUCAGCUCGUGUUGUGAAAUGUUGGGUUAAGUCCCGCAACGAGCGCAACCCUUAUUCUUUGUUGCCAGCGAUUUGGUCGGGAACUCAAAGGAGACUGCCGUUGAUAAAGCGGAGGAAGGUGGGGACGACGUCAAGUCAUCAUGGCCCUUACGACCAGGGCUACACACGUGCUACAAUGGCGUAUACAAAGGGAAGCGAAGGUGCGAGCUGGAACGGAUCUCAUAAAGUACGUCUAAGUUCGGAUUGGAGUCUGCAACUCGACUCCAUGAAGUCGGAAUCGCUAGUAAUCGUAGAUCAGAAUGCUACGGUGAAUACGUUCCCGGGCCUUGUACACACCGCCCGUCACACCAUGGGAGUGGGUUGCACCAGAAGUAGAUAGCUUAACCGCGAGGGGGGCGUUUACCACGGUGUGAUUCAUGACUGGGGUGAAGUCGUAACAAGGUAACCA